UGAAAAAGCAGAAAUAAAUCAUUUUCAAAGACAUCACUUCCAAAGCAAACUUCUAUCUUUGCUCUUCUAUGAACCAGGGAACGAAAAGGACACAGCUGUGGAUGUGGAUAAGGCCAGAUUUUGCAAGAUUAUUAAACAACAAAUUAUUAAAACGACCAUGCCGCUCGCUUUCUCCUUCAUGGUUUUGAUAAUCGUUUGUUCAAAAAGGACCUGUGCAGACUCAGUAAUGCAACCAGCAGGCACCAUUCACAUCCAGGAAGGAAAACAUGUACUUCUCCACUGCACCUAUGAUUACUCUGGGUCUACUCCUAUGUUCCUCUGGUACGCGCAGUAUCCCCAUGAGGCCCCUCGUCCGUUGCUGACACAAUAUGAAGCCUCGGACGAGGAGGAGAAGAGACGCAGGCGAGGGUUCUCUGCUAAACUGGAGAAAGACUCCAAAUCCUUCAACCUGGAGAAAAACUCCAGCGAAGUGAGCGACUCUGCUGUCUAUUACUGCGCCGUGAGAGACACAGCGAGUAAAGCCGCCAGGGGAGCUGUACAAAAACCCCACCGUCUGAGAAACACAAAGGGCUGA
This is a non-coding RNA of Gopherus evgoodei (Goodes thornscrub tortoise), 574 nucleotides long. The record is from the annotation of a RefSeq genome assembly. NCBI's taxonomy places the organism in Eukaryota, Metazoa, Chordata, Testudines, Testudinidae.